RNAcentral lists this unclassified non-coding RNA (201 nucleotides) under Thelephoraceae sp. 'Taylor #10'. Its description in RNAcentral is "ITS1". The record is from RNAcentral. Lineage: Eukaryota; Fungi; Basidiomycota; Agaricomycetes; Thelephorales; Thelephoraceae.
CUGAAUUGUCAACAAGAGUUGUUGCUGGUCCUCAAAUGGGGGCAUGUGCACGCUCUGUUCACACAUCCACUCACACCCUGUGCACCCUCUGUAGUUCUAUGGUCAGGGGGCCUGUCCUCCCGCUGUGGUUCUGCAUCUUUACACACACACACUGUAACGAAGUCUCAUGGAAUGCAUGCCGCGUUUAACGCAAUAUAAUAC